RNAcentral lists this ribosomal RNA (253 nucleotides) under uncultured bacterium. Its description in RNAcentral is "partial 16S ribosomal RNA". It matches the Rfam family "Bacterial small subunit ribosomal RNA", at positions 524 to 776 of the family's 1533-position model. The record is from RNAcentral.
GACGUAGGGUGCAAGCGUUGUCCGGAAUUAUUGGGCGUAAAGAGUUCGUAGGCGGUUACUUAAGUCUGGUGUUAAAGCCCGAUGCUCAACGUCGGCAUGGCAUUGGAAACUGGGUAGCUAGAGUGUGUCAGAGGUUACGGGAAUUCCUGGUGUAGCGGUGAAAUGCGUAGAUAUCGUAAGGAAGACCAGUGGCGAAGGCGGGUCUCUGGACAGUUCCUGACGCUGAGGCACGAAGGCCAGGGGAGCAAACGGG